This 2844-nucleotide small RNA is filed under the name Pan troglodytes (chimpanzee). Its description in RNAcentral is "retained intron". The record is from RNAcentral. Lineage: Eukaryota; Metazoa; Chordata; Mammalia; Primates; Hominidae.
CAGUCUUCAGGCCUCACCACGUGCUACUGGAGUAACACCCGUGUCAGUUAUGGAGCCUCACACAGCAGAUGUGUCUAGUAAAUACUGUGAAUAGUGUAUACUGUGUUUUGCUUUUGUUUUCUUUAGUAAUGAGGUCUCGUUAUGUUGCCCAGGCUGGUCUCAAACUCCUGAGCUCAAGCGAUCUUCCUUCCUCGGCCUCCCAGGGAGCUGGGAUUACAAGUGUGUGAUACUACGCCCAGCUAUACUGCAUUAGUGAACCAACUUCCUGGCUGUUUCCCCUACUCUGAACCUGGUGGUCUGUAACCCCUGACCACAGCUGUUCCUACAGUGGGAAGGGCCUGCUCAUCAGGGGCUGUGGCUCCUGGUCCCGCUGCACCGGGGAGGUGGGGUCUUACCGGGAUCAAUAGGCAGGCAGUCACUUUCUCUUCAUAGGAAUCUUGUCGAUUGGCCUGGCUGCUGCCUACUACAGCGGAGGUAAAGCACCCCCCGCCCCACCCCCCCAUGACUGUCUCAGCUGUUUGGAAAACAGAGAAAAGAAGGAAAAACUGUCAUUUGUGACUGUCCAUGGGGCGGCCUUUAGGAUUGGCACCUCUGCCCCUUGAUUGCUGGCGGGCACCGCGCCCUCCACGCACUGCUGUUCUUCCGCACGCCCAUCCUGCCCAGCACUCAGCCCACAUUUCACUUCUUAAGUCUUCUGUGUUUUUGGGUCAUCAAAUAUUCCCGGAGAGAUGCUCUUGAGGAUCUGGCUAAGAUCCAUCUGUGGGAUGAGGUGUACUUCCCACCCUGCCACCAUCACUGGGCCUGCCCAGACGGGCAGAGGCCCUGUGCGCCCCACCUGCCUCUCUCACGUGGACUCUGGGGGUCAGAGCUGGGUGGGGUGUGUCGCGUGUGGGUCCUGAGUGGCCAGGGCAGGGUCAGCAGCACAGGAAGCUGCCCAGGGGGUCCUUGCAAGCGUGGGCUCUGGCCAGCGUCUGGGGGAGGCUGUGCUAGGCGGGGCCUCCCGUGGGCAUGUCCCUGGAGCUCACAGGCUGGCGCCCUAUGCCCAUCUCCAGAUAGCCUGGGCUGGAAGCUCUUCUACGUCACAGGCUGCCUGUUUGUGGCUGUGCAGAACUUGGAGGACUGGGAGGAAGCCAUCUUCGACAAGAGCACAGGGAAGGUUGUUUUGAAGACGUUCAGCCUCUACAAGAAGCUGCUGACUCUUUUCAGAGCUGGCCACGACCAGGUGGUGGUCCUGCUCCAUGAUGUCCGUGAUGUGAGCGUGGAGGAGGAGAAGGUCCGGUACUUCGGGAAAGGCUACAUGGUGGUGCUCCGGCUUGCGACGGGCUUCUCCCACCCCCUCACGCAGAGUGCAGUCAUGGGCCACCGCAGUGAUGUGGAAGCCAUCGCCAAGCUCAUCACCAGCUUCCUGGAGCUGCACUGCCUUGAGAGCCCCACAGAGCUGUCUCAGAGCAGCGACAGUGAGGCCGGUGACCCUGCAAGCCAGAGCUGACAGCCCCACUGUGCCUGAGCCCGUGCACCGCCCACAGGACCCGUGGCACAUUCCCGGUGUGCCUGAGCCCGUGCACCGCCCGCAGGACCCGUGGCACAUUCCCGGUGUGCCUGAGCCCGUGCACCGCCCGCAGGACCCGUGGCACAUUCCCGGUGUGCCUGAGCCCGUGCACCGCCCGCAGGAUCCGUGGCACAUUCCCGGUGUGCCUGAGCCCGUGCACCGCCCACAGGACCCGUGGCCUUGGCUUCAGUCGGUGCCUCCAGCCGAGUUGGCCUAUUGCCUGCUCAUGCUGCUGCUUGCACACUGCAUGAAACAGCAGGCCAGACCAGGACACCCAGACCUUCUCCAUCGUGAGGCCUGGGCCUGCCUUUCUGCAGCCGGAGGUCUCGCCAGCCCUGGACUCCUGCUGUGGGCCACAGCAAGACCUCGGGUGAGUGGAGAGGCGGGGCCAGGCCGGGCCCUUGUGGGUGCUGAUGCUGCAUGUUGUCCCCAACACAGCGUCCUCUCCCUGGUGGACAUCCCCAGCGGUCAGGUGCUUCCCCAAGGGCAGUGAGGGGUGAACAUCCAGGGCCUACCUGGCUGUGCACGCUGCAGCCACACUGUGGAAGCUGCCCCUCCCCGAGGACCCGCCUCCCUUGCUGAUGCCAGGAUCUCGGCGCAUAGACCACUCUGCCCCAGCGGUCGUCACAGAAAGGUCUCUCUGUUCCUCACACUCAGCCUCAGCAUAAGCUGUGAGGCCAGAAAAAAGGUCAGCUCUUCUAGUAUCGUGCAGUGCUUAAAAACUGGGAGCUCCGGCCGGGCGCAGUGGUUCAUGCCAGUAAUCCCAGCACUUUCGGAGGCCGAGGUGGGAGGAUUGCUUGAGGCCAGGAGUUCAAGACCAGCCUGGGCAACACAGCAAGAUCCUGUCUUUGUAAAAAAAACUAACCAAACAGGAAAAACUGGGAGAUUUUCUGCAGAAAUUGAGUUCCAGCCUCUCUCGAACCUGGGAAGACCUGGCAGGAGGGGCUCUCGGCUACAGACUUCUCCCCACCCCGUAGGAGCUGAACGCCAACCAUCCUGACCCGCCAGUGCUCUUGGUCUCCUGAGUGCACCCAGGUCCUCCCAGGUGCGGUGUGCACCGAGCGCGCCUGGCCUGAUGCCCUGGCCUGUGAGCUGGGGACUCCUGGGCCCUGUGAGCCCCUAGGUGGCAGGCCCAGGAAUGGCUGGGUAGGACAGGGAACACCUUUGCCCCACGUCUGGCUGUGACCUCGGUGAAAGCCGACAGGAGAGAGAUGGGACCCUCCUACUCAGCAGUGGCUGCCAGUCCCUCGUUGCAGGACAUGGUCAUCGUAACCAUAAAUAACCCUUCGCAUGUC